RNAcentral lists this ribosomal RNA (301 nucleotides) under uncultured bacterium. RNAcentral's name for it is "partial 16S ribosomal RNA". It matches the Rfam family "Bacterial small subunit ribosomal RNA", at positions 509 to 807 of the family's 1533-position model. The record is from RNAcentral.
CAGUCGCCGCGGGAAAACGGAGGGUGCAAGCGUUAAUCGGAAUUACUGGGCGUAAAGCGUGCGUAGGCGGUUCGUUAAGUCUGUUGUGAAAGCCCCGGGCUCAACCUGGGAAUGGCAAUGGAUACUGGCGAGCUAGAGUGUGUCGGAGGAUGGUGGAAUUCCCGGUGUAGCGGUGAAAUGCGUAGAGAUCGGGAUGAACAUCAGUGGCGAAGGCGGCCAUCUGGGACAACACUGACGCUGAGGCACGAAAGCGUGGGGAGCAAACAGGAUUAGAUACCCCGGUAGUCCCUGUCUCUUAUAC